Molecule: small nuclear RNA, 160 nt
Organism: Microtus ochrogaster (prairie vole)
Lineage: Eukaryota; Metazoa; Chordata; Mammalia; Rodentia; Cricetidae
Gene: U1
Rfam family: U1 spliceosomal RNA
About the family: U1 is a small nuclear RNA (snRNA) component of the spliceosome (involved in pre-mRNA splicing). Its 5' end forms complementary base pairs with the 5' splice junction, thus defining the 5' donor site of an intron.
Source: Ensembl
AUAUUUGUCUGGCAGUGGAUUUACCAUGGUCACGAAAAUGGUUUCCCAGGGAAAGCCUUAUCUAUUGCACCGAGAAUGUGCUGACCUGCAAUUUCCCCUAAUGUAGGAAACCCUGCUGAAUCGUUUGUGGUAUGGGAGACUGUAUUCAUGCUCUACCCUA